Molecule: ribosomal RNA, 497 nt
Filed under: uncultured bacterium
Lineage: Bacteria
Description: partial 16S ribosomal RNA
Rfam family: Bacterial small subunit ribosomal RNA
Source: RNAcentral
GAUGAACGCUGGCGGCGUGCCUAAUACAUGCAAGUCGAGCGAACGGACGAGAAGCUUGCUUCUCUGAUGUUAGCGGCGGACGGGUGAGUAACACGUGGAUAACCUACCUAUAAGACUGGGAUAACUUCGGGAAACCGGAGCUAAUACCGGAUAAUAUUCUGAACCGCAUGGUUCAAAAGUGAAAGACGGUCUUGCUGUCACUUAUAGAUGGAUCCGCGCUGCAUUAGCUAGUUGGUAAGGUAACGGCUUACCAAGGCAACGAUGCAUAGCCGACCUGAGAGGGUGAUCGGCCACACUGGAACUGAGGCACGGUCCAGACUCCUACGGGAGGCAGCAGUAGGGAAUCUUCCGCAAUGGGCGAAAGCCUGACGGAGCAACGCCGCGUGAGUGAUGAAGGUCUUCGGAUCGUAAAACUCUGUUAUUAGGGAAGAACAUAUGUGUAAGUAACUGUGCACAUCUUGACGGUACCUAAUCAGAAAGCCACGGCUAACUACGUG